GUCAGCAGCCGCGGUAACACCGGCGGCCCGAGUGGUGAUCGUGAUUAUUGGGUCUAAAGGGUCCGUAGCCGGUUUGGUCAGUCCUCCGGGAAAUCUGAUAGCUCAACUAUUAGGCUUUCGGGGGAUACUGCCAGACUUGGAACCGGGAGAGGUAAGAGGUACUACAGGGGUAGGAGUGAAAUCUUGUAAUCCCUGUGGGACCACCUGUGGCGAAGGCGCCUUACCAGAACGGGUUCGACGGUGAGGGACGAAAGCUGGGGGCACGAACCGGAUUAGAUACCCGGGUAGUCCCAGCCGUAAACGAUGCUCGCUAGGUGUCAGGCAUGGUGCGACCGUGUCUGGUGCCGCAGGGAAGCCGUGAAGCGAGCCACCUGGGAAGUACGGCCGCAAGGCUGAAACUUAAAGGAAUUGGCGGGGGAGCACAACAACGGGUGGAGCCUGCGGUUUAAUUGGACUCAACGCCGGACAACUCACCGGGGGCGACAGCAAUAUGUAGGCCAAGCUGAAGACUUUGCCUGAAUCGCUGAGAAGAGGUGCAUGG
RNAcentral lists this ribosomal RNA (541 nucleotides) under uncultured archaeon. RNAcentral's name for it is "bacterial SSU rRNA". It matches the Rfam family "Archaeal small subunit ribosomal RNA", at positions 457 to 997 of the family's 1478-position model. The record is from RNAcentral.